GCAAUGUGCACGCGCCGCCAUUUUUAUCUUUCCACCUGUGCACCGACUGUAGGUCUGGAUACCUCUCGCCUCCGGGCGGAUGCGAGGGUUGCUCGUAAGGGCUUCCCUUGAACUUCCAGGCUCUACGUCUUUUUACACACCCCAAUAGUAUGAUGCAGAAUGUAGUCAAUGGGCUUCUCAGCCUAUAAAACACUAUACAACUUUCAGCAACGGAUCUCUUGGCUCUCGCAUCGAUGAAGAACGCAGCGAAAUGCGAUAAGUAAUGUGAAUUGCAGAAUUCAGUGAAUCAUCGAAUCUUUGAACGCACCUUGCGCUCCUUGGUAUUCCGAGGAGCAUGCCUGUUUGAGUGUCAUUAAAUUCUCAACCUCACCAGUUUUCUGAACUGACUGAGGCUUGGAUGUGGGGGCUUGUGCAGGCUGCCUCACCGGCGGUCUGCUCCCCUGAAAUGCAUUAGCGAGGUUCAUGCUGGACCUCCGUCUAUUGGUGUGAUAAUUAUCUACGCCGUGGACGAGGAUACAGACUCGCUUCUAACCGUCCGCGAGGA
RNAcentral lists this ribosomal RNA (544 nucleotides) under Coprinellus sp. JXLF32. RNAcentral describes it as "eukaryotic LSU rRNA". The stretch from base 199 to 352 matches the Rfam family "5.8S ribosomal RNA". Lineage: Eukaryota; Fungi; Basidiomycota; Agaricomycetes; Agaricales; Psathyrellaceae. The record is from RNAcentral.